Molecule: transfer RNA, 77 nt
Filed under: Clostridiaceae bacterium
Lineage: Bacteria; Bacillati; Bacillota; Clostridia; Eubacteriales; Clostridiaceae
Description: tRNA-Arg
Rfam family: tRNA
About the family: Transfer RNA (tRNA) molecules are approximately 80 nucleotides in length.
Source: RNAcentral
GAUCCCGUAGCUCAGCCGGACAGAGCGUCGGUCUCCUAAACCGCAGGUCGGAGGUUCGAAUCCUCUCGGGAUCACCA